CCUUCAUGAAGCCGGAAUUGCUAGUAAUGGCAGGUCAGCAUACUGCCGUGAAUACGUUCCCGGGCCUUGUACACACCGCCCGUCACACCAUGAGAGUUGGGAAUACCCGAAGCCUGUGAGCUAACUAUAUGAGGCAGCAGUCGAAGGUAGAAUCAAUGAUUGGGGGUGAAGUCGUAACAAGGUACC
RNAcentral lists this ribosomal RNA (186 nucleotides) under uncultured bacterium. Its description in RNAcentral is "partial 16S ribosomal RNA". It matches the Rfam family "Bacterial small subunit ribosomal RNA", at positions 1315 to 1500 of the family's 1533-position model. The record is from RNAcentral.